AUAGGAAAACCCGUGGAGCAAUCAAGUCGUUGCAAUUAAAACGUUACAUAAUAAGUUUUAUAAGUAGGACGUAAAUCCUCACCAUUGUGCAAUUUCAGUUGUAGCCUCAACGAUCUAGUCGUGUAGCCAUUUGUACUGAAAUCACUGAAAUCACUGAAUUUGUAUUAGUGUAAUAUUGCUUUGUGUUAGCUUUCUAAAAUUCUGUUCGUGUUAAAAUGACAGUUUAUUAAGAAAACUCUUGAGCUAUAAAACGCUUCAAAUCACAGCUAAGCGGAUGAAACUGCGCAGAUCUUGUAGUUUAUAAAUGGUCAACUAAAUACAACAUAACAACCAUAUCCUUCAGGUUCCAAGUGUAAGGUGAUCCUGUUAAAUAUUCCGAGCUCGUCGCCGCUGGAAUGGCGGCCGGGAACACUUUCAGGUGUUCGCUGAAUUUCGGGACCGGCAAUAAAACGUUUAAAUAUCUUUUUAUGACGUAAAAAUGCUUUUUUUACAUAUUAUGUUCUCGUUUUAGUGCGGCUACAUUUUACGUUGUAAUAAUAUUACUUCAAUAUGUAUUAAAUAGAUAUAGUAGCUA
Molecule: long non-coding RNA, 574 nt
Organism: Melitaea cinxia (Glanville fritillary)
Lineage: Eukaryota; Metazoa; Arthropoda; Insecta; Lepidoptera; Nymphalidae
Exons: 2
Source: RefSeq, a predicted model, not a curated record